GGAAGGGUGGGUGAGUCUGGCUGAAACCGCUCGACUCGAAAUCGAGUAGACGCAUAAACGUCUCGAGGGUUCAAAUCCCUCCCCUUCCGCCA
This 92-nucleotide transfer RNA is filed under the name Bacillota bacterium. RNAcentral describes it as "tRNA-Ser". It matches the Rfam family "tRNA". From Rfam's summary of the family: Transfer RNA (tRNA) molecules are approximately 80 nucleotides in length. Their secondary structure includes four short double-helical elements and three loops (D, anti-codon, and T loops). Further hydrogen bonds mediate the characteristic L-shaped molecular structure. tRNAs have two regions of fundamental functional importance: the anti-codon, which is responsible for specific mRNA codon recognition, and the 3' end, to which the tRNAs corresponding amino acid is attached (by aminoacyl-tRNA synthetases). tRNAs cope with the degeneracy of the genetic code in two manners: having more than one tRNA (with a specific anti-codon) for a particular amino acid; and 'wobble' base-pairing, i.e. permitting non-standard base-pairing at the 3rd anti-codon position. The record is from RNAcentral. RNAcentral also lists the same sequence under 2 other names. Lineage: Bacteria; Bacillati; Bacillota.